GCCAAUGCGGUGUAGUGGUUUGGUUGUUGGACUAUGACACUUGAGACCAGGGUUCGAAUCCCUGCUUGGCCA
Non-coding RNA from Phrynosoma platyrhinos (Desert horned lizard), 72 nucleotides. Lineage: Eukaryota; Metazoa; Chordata; Lepidosauria; Squamata; Phrynosomatidae. The record is from the annotation of a GenBank genome assembly.